This 701-nucleotide long non-coding RNA is filed under the name Homo sapiens (human). Its description in RNAcentral is "HSALNT0141390". The record is from RNAcentral. Lineage: Eukaryota; Metazoa; Chordata; Mammalia; Primates; Hominidae.
GGAGUGGGCGGGACGCCAGGCAGGCGGGGGACGCGGCGGCUGCCAGCCAAGGGGCCGGAGCCAAGAGAUUUGCAUUGGAAGCGCCAUCCUCUUGCGCGUCUGAUGAGGAAGCAGAACCCGGUGACCGACUGAGCUGCAUUUCUGAAGCAUUUGCUGGGUUUUGCCUCACUAAGCCUCGGGGAGCACUGGGGCGCGGGAUGGGGGACCCUGUCACGGAGCCGACACCUGCUCGCGCGCCUCUCCCCCGCUCACGCCGUGCCGCGGGCUCGCCCUCCCCAUCUGCAGCGCCCGCAGCGCCUGCCCGCCCCGCCCAUCCUUCCUCCUGGGCAACCCAGAGGAUGGCGUGAGGACUCCUGGAAGCCCAGAGGACCGGACCAGGGGCGUGGUGGGGAGCCGUAGACCCGAGUUUUUAUCCUUCUCUGGCGCCGACACUCGGCUGCGGAAUCGAGUUUGAGCUCGGUGUAGCUGAAGUUUAAAUUGUAGCUGUUUCAAAGAUGCCUUGGGAGUCUGAGGAACCCCAGAUUCAGCACCCCUGCUUAACCUGCUUUUAAGAAGAAAAAAAUGGAACUUGAUAAACUUCACUCAAAGGAGAGACCCACUAAUAACUCCACACACCUCACACCGAGUGAAGGUCUGGCUGUCCCUCUGUCUUCAUCUUUUCAGGCUGCUGUAAUAAAAUGCUAUAAGUGGGUGACUUAUAA